UUUUUUUUUUGUGAGAGAGAGAUAAGUAGCACACUACCCACUUCGUUUAUUUCAUUAAAAAAUAAACUUAGCUAGAAAUGUGAAUCAACUAAGAUUCGAACUUGGGUCUCGGGUACCAACCACCAAACGCUUGGCCACUUGCUCUAGGAACGGUCAGUGUUUUCCAGGUUUCUCACUUGGUCUUUUGUUGACUUGUUAUAUAUAUAGAGGAAGAACUUGUUAUUGAUAGUAAGUAGUCUUCA
This 242-nucleotide long non-coding RNA is filed under the name Ananas comosus (pineapple). Its description in RNAcentral is "long non-coding RNA (ACOM_LNC011250)". The record is from RNAcentral. Lineage: Eukaryota; Viridiplantae; Streptophyta; Magnoliopsida; Poales; Bromeliaceae.